AAUGAACGCUGGCGGCAGGCCUAACACAUGCAAGUCGAGCGGAUGAAGGGAGCUUGCUCCUGGAUUCAGCGGCGGACGGGUGAGUAAUGCCUAUGAAUCUGGCUGGAAGUGGGGGAUAACGUGCGGAAACGGGCGCUAAUACCGCAUACGACCAGAUGUAGAAAGUGGGGGGUCUUCGGACCUCACGCUAUCAGAUGAGCCUAGGACGGAUUAGCUAGUUGGUGGGGUAAAGGCCUAACGAGGCGACGAUCCGAAACUGGUCUGAGAGGAUGGUCAGACACCCUGGCACUGAGACACGGUCCAGACUCCUACGCGAGGAAGCAGUGGGGACUCCUACGCGAAGGGCCAAAGGGUGAUCCAGGCCUGCCGCGUGUGUGAUGAAGGUCUUCGGACUGUAAAGCGAUUUAAGUCGGGGGGAAGGAAAGUAAGUUUACCCCUGACUGUUUUGACGUUACCAACAGAAUAAGCACCGGCUAACUCCGUG
Molecule: ribosomal RNA, 484 nt
Filed under: uncultured bacterium
Lineage: Bacteria
Description: partial 16S ribosomal RNA
Rfam family: Bacterial small subunit ribosomal RNA
Source: RNAcentral